GGCUCAGAACGAACGCUGGCGGCAGGCUUAACACAUGCAAGUCGAACGACAUAGUGGCAGACGGGUGAGUAACGCGUGGGAACGUACCCUUCACUACGGAAUAGCUUCUGGAAACGGAAGGUAAUACCGUAUACGCCCUUCGGGGGAAAGAUUUAUCGGUGAAGGAUCGGCCCGCGUUAGAUUAGUUUGUUGGUGGGGUAAUGGCCUACCAAGACUACGAUCUAUAGCUGGUCUGAGAGGAUGAUCAGCCACACUGGGACUGAGACACGGCCCAGACUCCUACGGGAGGCAGCAGUGGGGAAUCUUGCACAAUGGGCGAAAGCCUGAUGCAGCCAUGCCGCGUGAAUGAUGAUGGCCUUAGGGUUGUAAAAUUCUUUCGCCAGGGAUGAUAAUGACAGUACCUGGUAAAGAAGCCCGGGCUAACUUCGUGCCAGCAGCCGCGGUAAUACGAAGGGGCCUAGCGUUGUUCGGAAUUACUGGGCGUAAAGCGCGCGUAGGCGGGCUAUUAAGCCAGAUGUGAAAGCCCGGGGCUCAACCCCGGAAUUGCAUUUGGAACUGGUAGCCUAGAGACCAGGAGAGGUUAGCGGAAUACCGAGUGUAGAGGUGAAAUUCGUAGAUAUUCGGUGGAACACCAGUGGCGAAGGCGGCUAACUGGACUGGUACUGACGCUGAGGCGCGAAAGUGUGGGGAGCAAACAGGAUUAGAUACCCUGGUAGUCCACACCGUAAACGAUGAAUGCUAGUUGUCUGCGCGCAUGCGUGCAGGUGACGCAGCUAACGCAUUAAGCAUUCCGCCUGGGGAGUACGGCCGCAAUGGUUAAAACUCAAAGAAAUUGACGGGGGCCCGCACAAGCGGUGGAGCAUGUGGUUUAAUUCGAAGCAACGCGCAGAACCUUACCCGCGUUUGACAUGCCCUGUUUGGUUACCAGAGAUGGUUUCCUUCAUUUAGUUGGCAGGUGCACAGGUGCUGCAUGGCUGUCGUCAGCUCGUGUCGUGAGAUGUUGGGUUAAGUCCCGCAACGAGCGCAACCCUUAUCCUUAGUUGCCAGCACGUUUGGGUGGGCACUCUAAGGAAACUGCCGGUGCUAAGCCGGAGGAAGGCGGGGAUGACGUCAAGUCCUCAUGGCCCUUACACGCGGGGCUACACACGUGCUACAAUGGCAGUGACAAUGGGAUAAUCCCAAAAAGCUGUCUCAGUUCAGAUUGUCCUCUGCAACUCGAGGGCAUGAAGUUGGAAUCGCUAGUAAUCGUGGAUCAGCAUGCCACGGUGAAUACGUUCC
This 1278-nucleotide ribosomal RNA is filed under the name uncultured Caulobacter sp. RNAcentral's name for it is "bacterial SSU rRNA". It matches the Rfam family "Bacterial small subunit ribosomal RNA", at positions 21 to 1374 of the family's 1533-position model. Lineage: Bacteria; Pseudomonadati; Pseudomonadota; Alphaproteobacteria; Caulobacterales; Caulobacteraceae. The record is from RNAcentral.